AUAAAUGUCACUGUUCUGUACACUGAAUGUAUACAAAAAACGUGUGUGUGUGUGUGUGUGUGUGUGUGUGUGUGUGUGUGUUUCUGAGCCUUCAGAGUGAACAUCUCUGGUUCCCUAUAUUAUGUUUUAUUUCCUUUCAUUUAUAUCUAUCUAUAUCUAUAUCUAUAUCUAUAUCUAUAUCUAUAUCAUCUACAUCUAUAUCUAUAUCUAUUUAUAUCUAUCUAUCUAUCUAUCUAUCUACCUAGUAAUACCAUGGUGCACUAGCAAAGCCUCCAAAGAGGCUCCCAAUAUUCCCCACCUCUGGGUUCACACCCAGUGCUCUUGGAUCACUCGCUCUGGGGAGGCAGGCUGUAGUAUGAGAGGAGGCUCCACGCAGCCUCUGGACCAGCCCAUGUGACAAGGAACCGAGGGCUCCAGCUGGCAGCCAGCAAGCAACUGAGGCUGCCAGCAGACAUGUGAGUGAGCUUGGCAGUGGAUGCUCCCACAGUUGAGCCUUCAGAUGACUGUUGGUCAAGUGACAGCUCAGCUCUGCCGCUCCCAGGGUCCUAACCCUCCCAAACCGUGGGAGACGAUGACUGUUUGCUGUUGUAAGCUGCGCUGCUCAGUUUGGGGGGUAAUUGGUUACACAGUAGAUAAUUAAAACACAUGGCAUAUAAGUGAAAUCAACAAAACCAGGGUGGGUCAGUGAUUAGUAAGUUAGAUGCUUUGACGGGUUUUGACACUUCUGUUGCAUCUUAAUUGUUUUCCUCCGAAGUGUCCCCUUUGGGUAAACAGUGUUAAGAGUGGUUACCAACAGGACAUUAGAAAAAUUAACAAUUAGCUUUGGGAACUAAAGUGUAACCACAGCAUUAUUUUCCAUUUUAUUAAAUGCAUUAAAUAGUAUUGCAGUGUAUUUGUUUCUAUUAAAAAACAUGAUAUUGGACUCCGGGAGGAAAGCUAUUGCAAAUUACUCUGAAAACUCUCAUUUCUUUCAUAGCAACGUGUAAUAAUAUCAUAAUUGCUUAGUGGGAGUUCAGAGACGGACUGACUUUAACAUAUAUUUAAGCAUAAUAUUAUAGACAAACAAGUUCGCCUGCAGUAUUUGAAGAUAGUCAUUUUCUUGUAAACAUCCUCCUUUAUGUUACUAAGAUGGUCUGCAGUCUCUGUCACUGUUCUUGGCAGAAAGUCAAACUUAGCAGAGUAACUGUGUGGAUUCUAACAAUGUCUGAAUUAGUGAAGCCCCAAAUAAUGAAGAUUUAUUAUGUGUAAGGGAACUAGAAAAGUCUAAAAUCCCAAGUUAUGAGUCAAGGCAAUAGUUCCCAGCCGGCUGGUGACCCUUCCAGGAUGAUAUCCCCGGCAUUCUCCAUGCUUCACUAAGGUUGGAAUUCAGCCUUUGGUACUAAGUUGUCUCAAUCUUGGCCACAGUGGUAAUUUCAUUUUCCCACUUGUUUUCCCUCAACUAGAAGGACUAGGGGCAAUUGAUUUUUCCACGUAGAAAAAGAUAUUGGAUUCUUACUUCACAAUCUAAAAAAACAAAAAAUUUUUUUCCCACAUGAAUCAAGGGCUCAUAUGUAAAAAGCAAAACUUCAAGAAUUUUCAAAGCAAAUGUAAAAAUUAUCUUUAUGACCUUGGAGGAAUGUCUUUACCAAAAACACAAAAGUUCACAUCAUAAAGAAAAAGAUGAGAAAAUUUAACUGCAUCAUGAACUAUUCUCUCUCUCUCUCUCUCUCUCUCUCUCUGUUUUUAGUCUUAAAUAUUACAUUACUAAUAAGCAUUUUUAUGGAGAGCAAUGUGAUUUAAUAAGCUUCAUUAUUUUUGCAAUUUGGGUAUAAAAUUUAGUAAUACAAAAUAAGGAAUGGGGCUCUAAGUUUAAUGUGUGUGUGUGUGUGUGUGUGUGUGUGUGUGUGUGUGUGUGAUAUUCUUGGUUGUAAUGGCUAUCCUAGCCUUAUUUUCCUCAUUCAUAUUUUUCUCAAUUAUUUUCUGGAUUUUCUAAAUUAUUAUUUUCUUUUGGUGCUGUAGUAUCUUUGUAAGUUACAUCAAAACUAAUGAAGUAGGGAACAAGUAAAUAAGUUGAACAAACCAUUAGAUUCAAUUUAUGCUCCCAACAAAUAACCAUUUAUAACUCAAGCCUUCAAAAAAUUAUAACAAUUUCAUAAUGAACAAUGGAUAAUUUAUGGAGACUUUGUGGCAGCAAUGAAUACAAUUAUGGGUAAAUUGUCUCCAACAAAUAACUUCUGGAAUAUCCACACUCCUUAUAAUCUCAGAAACAGAAUACCAAACCUAUUAGUAAGACAUAAUAUUUUCUAGUCAUUUGAGGAUUCAGUUUGUUAGAUUAUGUCGUUAACUUUAUCAGGUUGUGUCUUAUAUUGCAUUCGCUAAAUGGAAGACUAGCUACUCAAACUUUACCUGAGGUUCCUGUAAGCCUUCUCAGAAUACAAAGAAGGAUGAGGGACCAGCUUUUGUUCUUCACAAUUCCAUUUUGUUAUAUGAUGCAGAAGUUACAAAGCUUUCAUCAACAAUUACUGACUACUUUCAUUGUCAUCCCCAUGUGGGAGUUCUGAAAGACUGUUUGAAAUUCGUUCGAGUAACAGAAGAGAGUGCACAGUGCAGCCUUCUGGAUUAAACAAAGAAUAAGAGAAAAAAUCUUCACUUCUAUCAAAGGUGCAAGCAAUGGAGGGAGCAUCAACACAAACAAAACAGGCAUCAGCCAGAAAGCCUAUAGGAAACCAUGGGAGGAAGAUCAAAAUCAGAUUCUUAGAAGUGAGCUGUUCCAGGAGCAGCUUGCGCCCUGAGCAGAGAGGAAGAGUGGCCACCCCAAGCCCCUUCCCGGGAUCUACACUCAGCAGCUCAGCCUCAAGCCACCGUGGCUUUGAACUGUGACGAUUAACUACAGGUGGAUGAAGAGCUCAUUUGCACUCUUGAUCCAAGAGAGAAGGAUCAAUAAUUCUCCAAAGAGUUUACAAGUGCCUUUGUUAGAAGACUGCCCUAUUAUUCUGCACCUUCCAGGGCCUGGGCCUGGAGUUUUCCUUCUGAAAAAUCAAAAUACAGUCUGCAACUCCCACCACCGCAGGACUGAGAUGGACCAAAGCGUAUCCAUUACUUUCCAUAAGUCUUCCCAAAGAAGUGAAUGGACACCAAUUAGCAAGAAAUCUUGAAAUCCAUAGAUUGUCCUACUUUGGGGAAUGGUUUAAGUGUUUAUUUCAUGUGAUUUUGUUGGUAUGUGUAAGAGAAAGCACUGUAUUUAUUUUCAGAUUUUCUCCUCUUUUUUUUUAAAGAGGGCAUAAUACCUUUUUCAUUUCCCCACCACCUGUUUAA
Molecule: long non-coding RNA, 3294 nt
Organism: Herpailurus yagouaroundi (jaguarundi)
Lineage: Eukaryota; Metazoa; Chordata; Mammalia; Carnivora; Felidae
Exons: 3
Source: RefSeq, a predicted model, not a curated record